Helianthus annuus (common sunflower) is the source of this 1506-nucleotide long non-coding RNA. RefSeq lists it as uncharacterized. NCBI's taxonomy places the organism in Eukaryota, Viridiplantae, Streptophyta, Magnoliopsida, Asterales, Asteraceae. The record is from RefSeq and is a predicted model, not a curated record. The transcript is spliced from 3 exons.
GAAAACCACAGAUCAAAAAUAACACGCACACCCUUGAGAUCUUUCCUCUGCUUUCUUCAAGAUCUGAAACCCUAAAACCUUAUAUUCUCAAAACCUCUAAUCUACUGAGCAAUAUCCUUCAAAUACACACAGCCAAACACACUCGACCUCUCUCUCACCUCUCUCUCAAUACCGGUCGCCGGAAUCAGGCGGCGGUUCCAGCCACCCCCUUCUCUCGAUGACGUCCAACAACCACGGCCGGUGGUGUUUUCCAGCCACUCGACACCCCCCGCCCCCUCUGUACCACUUUAUACAUAACUCAACCGGAGUGAGAGAGAUCAGUGGAGUGAUCAGCGACGAAGAGAGAUCCAGUCGAAGAGAGAGAGAGAGGAACUCAAGAGAACGGAAAUGGCGGGUCGGCGUCGGUGGCGUGAGGAUUUCGCGUCGGAAUCGAAGGGGAUGUUAGUUACGAGCAUCGGAAUCAAGUAUCAAGGAUGGUGAUUACAGAUAACGAUGUUGACGAUGAUGGCCGACGGCGGCGGAGGUCGCCGGAGCUCCGGUGAGUCUCCUAAUACUUUGUUUAUUCAUUUUUUUCUUUGUUUUUCCGAUUAAUGAUGUUUAGUCCUUGAUUGGGUCGUAUAUCGGCUGAUGAGUGGGUUCCGGAGCUCCGAUUCAGGCAGGCACGUGUUCGGGUCAGAUUUCAGUUUUGAGUCAGACCCGGUUAACAGCAGUCAGUGAUUCUGGUUUGGGUUCGCGACUCAGUUCGAUGUUCGGGUCAAUGGCCAAAGUCAACAAUGGUCAACUGUUUGGGUCAACUCGGUUAAACCGAGUCGACUCAGUCAAACUCAGGUCAACAGUCAGUUGACCUGGUCAACUCAGUGCAGAUUGGUCCGAUUAACGUCGGUUAUGUUUUGGGUUCACGUUCGGGUUCCGGUUCAGUUUCGAGAUGAUCGGUUCAAAAUAGUCACAGUGAGCGGUUUGGGUUAGACUUGGCAGUCAAGGUCCGAUCAACAGCAGUCAACGCUGGUCGACUCACGAGACCCGGAAUGUCAUAGUUGCACGCUAGCUACUUCGCGUUCUUGGAACGACACUACGGAAGCACACUAAGUUAGCUUUGCACAAGAACAUCAAGGUUGCAUUUUCAAAACUGUGGAACGGUUGGAAUAGGAGAACCCAUGGGAAUUCGAGUACUUAGCGGCGUUCAUUUUCUAGAAGUAUUAGCUUAUUUGCUUCCGCUGCGCAAUGAAGAUACCGGUCCAGUCACGCCAAGCUCUGAUAUUUCGGGGUGUGACAAAAGGACCUUUCAAACAAGAUUUCGGGGGGUUACCCAUAUAUCCAAGAGGUUGUUACCCACAGAAUAAGCAAGUUUGAAAUUUAGGUUUAUAUCUCGUCACAAUUUACUAAAUGUGUAAAAACCUACUGACACAUACACAGUGAGAUUGUUUAUAACAUUUUAACUUUCCAUUUCUUUAGCAUGUUGUGAUAGUCCACUGAUGUACUACCAUUUCCUCUUUUAUGCAACAAAAA